This 1071-nucleotide long non-coding RNA is filed under the name Astyanax mexicanus (Mexican tetra). Its description in RNAcentral is "lncRNA (ENSAMXG00005015090.1)". Lineage: Eukaryota; Metazoa; Chordata; Actinopteri; Characiformes; Acestrorhamphidae. The record is from RNAcentral.
AUCAGUUCAUUAUUUUUUUUUUCUUCUCAAGAGUGACAACACCAAACUCUAAAAUACAGCCAAACAUCUGAUUUCCAGCACCCAAGAUGCCACAGAUAAGCAGAAUUACUGUCAUUUGCUAGCAGGGUGAGUCUGCAUCCUCCAUUACAGCUGACCAGCCAUGCGGGAAAUUGGAAAAGUUAAUCUACCAGCGUACUGCUUACAGACGACCCACGGAGAACUGUGAAUAAUAUUGAGACCUGUCAAAUUUGAUCAUUUUCUUUUUAUAUGAAGCGCUGACAUUUUAUUGCCAAGCUUCUGUCUGGAUAAUCAGGCAAUCAUGCAGACAGUGGGAGGAUUCUGUUUACAAGCUACAUCAAAUACAGACAAGAUCUAAUGCUUUUGGGAUGCGAGGUGGCAGAAUAGAUGUUUAUCAACCUGUCUCAUCUGGUCUUGGAUAAAACAAAUCAAAUCACUCAUUCUGGAGCAUGUUCUGAUACUACAUGAGUGUAUGCAGCACACUUCAUCACUUACCGGAGCACCAUGGGCUGCAGGGCCUGCGAGGCCAACCGCUCGAACAUUCUCUGCAGUGGUGGGUGGAGCGGGUGGUCCUCGUCCCCCAUGGCACAGCUGCAGCGCUGCAGCAGCCGUGAGUGCAGGCCAGCCUCACAGAGGAUCUGCUGAUUCCGCUCAGAGUGAACCAGCACCUGCAGGAUGUUUGCCACCGCUAGCUGCAGGUCCAGUGCAUGCUGAGGAGAAAGAAGGGAAGAGGAAGUUGCUGUUUUGGAGAUAAGUGGUAAAGACUGGUACCUCAGGUUGGGCGUCUGAGCUGACGGAGGCUAGCAGAUCCAACAUGGCCAGUACAGCUCCUGGAUGAAUGACUACAGGGUCUGAGGGGUGCUGAGAGGGGUUCCCCAGGUAGAGCUUCAAGUCUGUAAUGGCUUUGACUGGAGCCGUGGAGUUGGAGGAGGAACUGUGGUAGCCGUGUCUGUUCAGCAGGAGACAGGAGGUCAGCAUAAAAGUCUACAAGUAGCAUUAUGCCAUAUAAAUACAGAGACAUUUUAUAAUAAAUUCUACACAAUUUUCUUUACA